ACGUACGGCCAGAGGUUACAGAAAAAAGAACAUCCCGUCCGCUCUGUUGUACUCAAGCUGUAAACCGGUGGGUUAGUACUACGCUGGGUGACCACGUGGGAAUACCCGCUGCUGUACGUU
This 120-nucleotide ribosomal RNA is filed under the name Acidomyces richmondensis BFW. Lineage: Eukaryota; Fungi; Ascomycota; Dothideomycetes; Mycosphaerellales; Teratosphaeriaceae. The record is from RNAcentral.